UUGGAAAUUAGCCGGAGAAAUUCACGCCUUACAUCCAUUAACGCACUUUAUAAUCAACUGGUGGCCGCAAAUGUGGGUCAUCCAUUAAAGCGCUCUUGGCACCGAAGUCAUCUAGACAUCUAGACAACCAUAACAAAUUGUGGAUAUUGCUCUUUUUCCUUUGCUUUUCCUAUUAUGUCAGUUGCUAUCGGGGUUCAUGUUCGAGUGUUUUCCAUUCGCCUCAAUCUGCCUGUGAAUGAUGAUGACUCAUGGGCAUGUGAACUUUUCGAUGAUUAAGCUCAAAUUGGAGUCCGGCAGCUGGUGACGCCCUCGAAAAAGGACGGAUAAAGAAACCGAUUUUCAGAUAGGCACAGUGGCUCCAUAAGAAAGUUUUCACAAUAUAAUUAGUUAGAAGAUUUGAUAAUAACACUUAAAAAAUACCAUUUGUUCAGUGUGCCAUAAAAGUUUUAUUUCAGUGCAGUGUGCGAUUGGGAAGGCCGGCACAUGUCAUCAGUCAGGCUACAGUGAGCUCACUCAUAGUCUGCAGUGGGAUUGGGAUACACAAUCGCAUGAGGAGAGAUACAUUUGAGACAGUGAAACAAUCAGUUGAUGGAUGCACUGUGUUUGCAGAGGGUCGCCGAGGAGGACAAAUUGCCAGAAGCCGGCGACCAUCGAAGCAAAAACAGGAAGGAAAGAAAAAAAUAGAUGGUACAUAGAAACGACAAUUGUGAAGUCAUAUUAAUUGUAUCUAUCUUCUGGCUGCAGCA
RNAcentral lists this small RNA (746 nucleotides) under Drosophila yakuba. Its description in RNAcentral is "GE27757". Lineage: Eukaryota; Metazoa; Arthropoda; Insecta; Diptera; Drosophilidae. The record is from RNAcentral.